RNAcentral lists this ribosomal RNA (494 nucleotides) under uncultured bacterium. RNAcentral's name for it is "partial 16S ribosomal RNA". It matches the Rfam family "Bacterial small subunit ribosomal RNA", at positions 28 to 507 of the family's 1533-position model. The record is from RNAcentral.
GACGAACGCUGGCGGCGUGCUUAACACAUGCAAGUCGAACGGAAAGGCCUGCUUUCCCUUGUGGAUUGCGGGUACUCGAGUGGCGAACGGGUGAGUAACACGUGAGUGAUCUGCCCCCAACUUGGGUAUAAGCCUGGGAAACUGGGUCUAAUUCCCGAUAGGACUGCAGGGUGGUGCCUGUGGUGGAAAACGAUUUUCUAGUGGUUGGGGAUGAGCUCGCGGCCUAUCAGCUUGUUGGUGGGGUAAUGGCCUACCAAGGCGGCGACGGGUAGCCGGCCUGGGGGGGUGGACGGCCACAUUGGGACGGAGGUACGGCCCAGACUCCUACGGGAGGCAGCAGUGGGGAAUAUUGCACAAUGGGCGGAAGCCUGAUGCAGCGACGCCGCGUGGGGGAUGACGGCCUUCGGGUAGUAAACUCCUUUCGACCGCGAGGAAGCCACCUGGUUGGAAGGGUGGUGACGGUAGUGGUAGAAGAAGCACCGGCUAACUACGUG